AUGAGAGAGGAGAAUGGCCAGGCCUGAGAAGUGGCUUAUGGUUGGAGGAGAGUCGGAAAGGGAAGGAGGAUUUCUCAGAAGGAAUCAAAGGAGCUCAGCCCCCUUGGUGAUCCCCACUUCCCGGGGAACGGGCCUUUUCCUGAUAGUACUGUGCUGCGCCCCCGCGGGCCAAAUGCGGGUGGACAUACUGCCCUCCCGCGUGUGACCGGGAGAAGGGCAGGGCACUGUUCCUUCCCUGUGCCCCUCCCCUCUGCCAUCAGUCUCCACCUGUCUGUAUUUACCUCUCUGCCCUCUCGCCCCUAAACCUCUUUUCUGUCCCCAUCUGGCUUCCCUCUCCAUCGGUCAGUGAGCUCUGAUUACGCUGCACUCCAGCCUGGGCGACAGAGUGAGACUUUGUCUCUAAAAAAGAAGAAGAAGAAGGAGGAGGAGGAGGAGGAGGAGGAGGAGGAGGAGGAGAAGGAGAGGAAGGGAAGGGGAAGGGGAAGGAGGAGGAGGAGGAGGAGAAGGAGGAGAAGGAGGAGAAGAGGAAGAGAAGAGGAAGAGGAAGAGGAAGAAAAAACGAAUGAUGAAGGAAAGUGACAAGAUUUCCGCUUCCAGAAACCCAAGUCUUGACUUUAUCCACAUGGAAGGUGUCGCUCAGAAUGCACUUUUCUUGGUGCGCUUUUCUUCCUAGCUUAGGGCAUUUCCUUCUAUUUCGGGAUCCGUGGGUAGGACGGGGGCUUGUGGGGGGGGGGGGGGGGCCCUGUCUUUCACUUGGCUGUUCAGAUUCUGCCAUCUUCAGGAGAAGGAUGGCCCUGCAAGUGGAUUCAAUUCAGUUUCUUGGCUGCGAGGAUGAAAAAGCAAGGAGGGUCUCAAGAACGGAGCGCAGCUGUUAGGAGCGGCUCACAAGGGAGGAGGAAGAUGUUUUCUCUCAGAUACCCGUCCCAGCCUGUCACUGCUCUGGGAAGCACAGUCAAGAGGAACCCAUCAUCCGGUAUUGAAAGGGAGAUGUGCAGAAGUCCACCCAUGUGUGAUAGAGACAGAAUACUCAGCAGAUAUUUCCCAGGCUCCCCUGCAGGCUCAGCCCCUGCAGAGGGGAAGUGGAUAAGCCUCAUUUCUGGACUGAAGUUGCACGUUGAAUGGGUAAAGCCCGUGGUCAUAAGCAAGCUGGUUCAAUGACAUGGAAGACACAGCUGCAGUCACUGCAACCGCGAUGGACUGUGUGUGUGCUGGAAAUGAACCUUCAUGGCGCUAAGUCACUGAGUUUUCAGACUUUAUCUGUUA
This 1263-nucleotide long non-coding RNA is filed under the name Pan troglodytes (chimpanzee). RNAcentral describes it as "long non-coding RNA NONPTRT013323". Lineage: Eukaryota; Metazoa; Chordata; Mammalia; Primates; Hominidae. The record is from RNAcentral.